RNAcentral lists this long non-coding RNA (306 nucleotides) under Linum usitatissimum (flax). RNAcentral's name for it is "long non-coding RNA (LUSI_LNC005438)". The record is from RNAcentral. Lineage: Eukaryota; Viridiplantae; Streptophyta; Magnoliopsida; Malpighiales; Linaceae.
AACUUGGUAAUACCUAUAAAAAUGUAGUUUUGAAUAAUCAACUCACAUCUCUGACCUAAAAAGGAAGUUCUUCAAAACACUAUCAACGCUGUGCUUGUUUUAAUCAUCUUUGAAAAACUAAGAUUUUAAUUCAAAAAUCAAUCGAAUCUGAAUUCGUAUGUAAAUGAUAUUAAUUAAAUAAGAACGUUAAAGGAAAAAAAUAAAUAGUGACAAAAAAGGAAAAAAAAAUUGAUUUGAAGUGACAAAAUUGCCCUUUUAAACCAAAUUUCAGCAUACUUGAGCAUAUAAUUUCUUUAGCACCGUACG